Molecule: ribosomal RNA, 245 nt
Filed under: uncultured bacterium
Lineage: Bacteria
Description: partial 16S ribosomal RNA
Rfam family: Bacterial small subunit ribosomal RNA
Source: RNAcentral
UACGUAGGGGGCGAGCGUUGUCCGAAUUUACUGGGCGUAAAGCGCGCGUAGGCGGAUUUUUAAGUCGGUGGUGAAAUUCCGGGGCUCAACCUCGGACCUGCCGCCGAAACUGGGAGUCUUGAGGUAUGGAGAGGGAAGUGGAAUUCCUGGUGUAGCGGUGAAAUGCGUAGAUAUCAGGAGGAACACCCGUGGCGAAGGCGGCUUCCUGGCCACAUCCUGACGCUGAGGUGCGAAAGCCAGGGGAG